Molecule: unclassified non-coding RNA, 218 nt
Filed under: Hevea brasiliensis (rubber tree)
Lineage: Eukaryota; Viridiplantae; Streptophyta; Magnoliopsida; Malpighiales; Euphorbiaceae
Source: RNAcentral
AAAUUCCUCAGCUGAUAACAAGGUACCAGCCGCCACAUAACAUUGUUACCUUUCUUGUCAAGUGUCAACCCUUGCAAACAUCAUCUCAAGCACCAUCUUUGGAAUAAGUUAACCCAAUAAAUAUAAAACCAAAAAAAGAACAAAGGACAGAGAGAGCUGCAGGAAUCCAACUUGCAACACAUGCUUCCUGUUGAGAAUCCCACAUCGAAAAGAUAUGA